UGGGGGAUAACUAUCCGAAAGGAUAGCUAAUACCGCAUACGACCCGAGGGUGGAAAGACGGGGGGACCGAAAGGCCUCGCGCGAUUGGAGCGGCCGAUAUCGGAUUAGCUAGUUGGUGAGGUAAAGGCUCACCAAGGCGACGAUCCGUAGCUGGUCUGAGAGGACGACCAGCCACACUGGAACUGAGACACGGUCCAGACUCCUACGGGAGGCAGCAGUGGGGAAUUUUGGACAAUGGGGGCAACCCUGAUCCAGCCACUUCCGCGUGAGUGAAGAAGGCCUUCGGGUUGUAAAGCUCUUUCAGCAGGAACGAAACGGUGGUCCCUAAUACGGGCUACUAAUGACGGUACCUGAAGAAGAAGCACCGGCUAACUACGUGCCAGCAGCCGCGGUAAUACGUAGGGUGCGAGCGUUAAUCGGAAUUACUGGGCGUAAAGCGUGCGCAGGCGGUUAUAUAAGACAGAUGUGAAAUCCCCGGGCUUAACCUGGGAACUGCGUUUGUGACUGUAUAACUCGAGUGUGGCAGAGGGGGGC
RNAcentral lists this ribosomal RNA (534 nucleotides) under uncultured bacterium. Its description in RNAcentral is "bacterial SSU rRNA". It matches the Rfam family "Bacterial small subunit ribosomal RNA", at positions 137 to 662 of the family's 1533-position model. The record is from RNAcentral.